CCCUUAGAUGUUCUGGGCUGCACGCGUGCUACACUGAUUAUUUCAACAAGUGUUUUAACUGGAGAGUUCGCGUAAUCCUGAAAUGUUAUCGUGAUGGGAGUAGAGUAUUGUAUUUGUUAAUCUUUAACGAGGAAUUCCUAGUAAGUGUAGGUUUAUAAGUUGUUCUGAUUACGUCCCUGCCCUUUGUACACACCGCCCGUCGCUCCUACCGAUUGAUUGAUCCGGUGAAUUACAUAGAAUUUUGCGUUUUACAUGACGGAAGACGAAGUGUUUUAAACCUUCUCAUUUAGAGGAAGGAGAAGUCGUAACA
This 310-nucleotide ribosomal RNA is filed under the name uncultured eukaryote. Its description in RNAcentral is "partial 18S ribosomal RNA". It matches the Rfam family "Eukaryotic small subunit ribosomal RNA", at positions 1470 to 1796 of the family's 1831-position model. The record is from RNAcentral.